RNAcentral lists this ribosomal RNA (465 nucleotides) under uncultured bacterium. Its description in RNAcentral is "partial 16S ribosomal RNA". It matches the Rfam family "Bacterial small subunit ribosomal RNA", at positions 28 to 507 of the family's 1533-position model. The record is from RNAcentral.
GACGAACGCUGGCGGCGUGCUUAACACAUGCAAGUCGAACGGAAAGGCCCUGCUUGCAGGGUACUCGAGUGGCGAACGGGCGAGUAACACGCGGGUGAUCUGCCCUGCACUUCGGGAUAAGUCUGGGAAACUGGGUCUAAUACCGGACAGGUGCCAUUUUUAGUGUGAUGGUUGGAAAGUUUUUUCGGUGUAGGAUGAGCUCGCGGCCUAUCAGCUUGUUGGUGGGGUAAUGGCCUACCAAGGCGGCGACGGGUAGCCGGCCUGAGGGGGUGGACGGCCACAUUGGGACUGAGAUACGGCCCAGACUCCUACGGGAGGCAGCAGUGGGGAAUAUUGCACAAUGGGCGCAAGCCUGAUGCAGCGACGCCGCGUGGGGGAUGACGGCCUUCGGGUUGUAAACUCCUUUCGCUAGGGACGAAGCUUUUUGUGACGGUACCUAGAUAAGAAGCACCGGCUAACUACGUG